Molecule: ribosomal RNA, 180 nt
Filed under: Triticum aestivum (bread wheat)
Lineage: Eukaryota; Viridiplantae; Streptophyta; Magnoliopsida; Poales; Poaceae
Description: partial small subunit ribosomal RNA
Source: RNAcentral
AUUGCUCUUGGUCAGGAGGUGAAGGUGUCAAGCCAGAAAAAAGGAAAAGUUGGCAGAAAAGCGGCUGAUGGCUUUCUAUCACAAAUCCCCACAGUUCCACUAAACAGAAGGUCAAGCAUAAGAUCACUUGCUGUUGCACUGGGUGUCAGUCGGACCACGCUACACAGGACGUUCCAGCUU